GACGGACGCUGGCGGCGUGCUUAACACAUGCAAGUCGAGCGGUAAGGCCCUUUCGGGGGUACACGAGCGGCGAACGGGUGAGUAACACGUGGGUGACCUGCCCUCAGCUCUGGGAUAAGCCUGGGAAACCGGGUCUAAUACCGGAUAUGACUCCAUGACGCAUGUUGUGGGGUGGAAAGCCUUGUGCGGCUGAGGAUGGGCCCGCGGCCUAUCAGCUUGUUGGUGGGGUGAUGGCCUACCAAGGCGACGACGGGUAGCCGGCCUGAGAGGGCGACCGGCCACACUGGGACUGAGACACGGCCCCGACUCCUACGGGAGGCAGCAGUGGGGAAUAUUGGGGCAAUGGGCGCAAGCCUGACCCAGCGACGCCGCGUGGGUGAUGAAGGCC
RNAcentral lists this ribosomal RNA (388 nucleotides) under uncultured bacterium. Its description in RNAcentral is "bacterial SSU rRNA". It matches the Rfam family "Bacterial small subunit ribosomal RNA", at positions 28 to 416 of the family's 1533-position model. The record is from RNAcentral.